This 491-nucleotide ribosomal RNA is filed under the name uncultured bacterium. RNAcentral describes it as "partial 16S ribosomal RNA". It matches the Rfam family "Bacterial small subunit ribosomal RNA", at positions 28 to 507 of the family's 1533-position model. The record is from RNAcentral.
GAUGAACGCUGGCUACAGGCUUAACACAUGCAAGUCGAGGGGAAACGACGGGGAAGCUUGCUUCCCCGGGCGUCGACCGGCGCACGGGUGAGUAACGCGUAUCCAACCUGCCUCUGACUGAGGGAUAACCCGUCGAAAGUCGGCCUAAUACCUCAUGGUAUCGUCUGCGGGCAUCCAACGACGAUUAAAGAUUUCAUCGGUCAGUGAUGGGGAUGCGUCUGAUUAGCUUGUUGGCGGGGUAACGGCCCACCAAGGCUACGAUCAGUAGGGGUUCUGAGAGGAAGGUCCCCCACAUUGGAACUGAGACACGGUCCAAACUCCUACGGGAGGCAGCAGUGAGGAAUAUUGGUCAAUGGGCGAGAGCCUGAACCAGCCAAGUAGCGUGCAGGAAGACGGCCCUAUGGGUUGUAAACUGCUUUUAUGCGGGGAUAAAGUGAGGGACGUGUCCCUCAUUGAAGGUACCGAAUGAAUAAGGACCGGCUAAUUCCGUG